GUUGAACGCUGGCGGAAUGCUUUACACAUGCAAGUCGAACGGCAGCACGGACUUCGGUCUGGUGGCGAGUGGCGAACGGGUGAGUAAUGUAUCGGAACGUGCCCAGUCGUGGGGGAUAACGUAGUGAAAAUUACGCUAAUACCGCAUACGAUCUAUGGAUGAAAGCGGGGGACCGCAAGACCUCGCGCGAUUGGAGCGGCCGAUAUCAGAUUAGGUAGUUGGUGGGGUAAAGGCCCACCAAGCCAACGAUCUGUAGCUGGUCUGAGAGGACGAGCAGCCUCACUGGAACUGAGACACGGUCCAGACUCCUACGGGAGGCAGCAGUGGGGAAUUUUGGACAAUGGGCGAAAGCCUGAUCCAGCCAUUCCGCGUGCAGGAUGAAGGCCCUCUGGUUGUAAACUGCUUUUGUACAGAACGAAAAGGUUUCUACUAAUACUAGGAGCUCAUGACGGUACUGUAAGAAUAAGCACCGGCUAACUACGUGCCAGCCGCCGCCGUAA
RNAcentral lists this ribosomal RNA (500 nucleotides) under uncultured bacterium. RNAcentral's name for it is "partial 16S ribosomal RNA". It matches the Rfam family "Bacterial small subunit ribosomal RNA", at positions 28 to 523 of the family's 1533-position model. The record is from RNAcentral.